UCGCACGGUCAGCAAUGGCAGUGCCGGACGGUGAGUAACACGUAGGAAAUCUAUCCCCAGGGUGGGGGACAACAGCGGGAAAACUGCUGCUAAUACCGCAUGAUACCUGAGGGUCAAAGGCGCAAGUCGCCUUGGGAGGAGCCUGCGUCUGAUUAGCUUGUUGGUGAGGUAAAGGCUCACCAAGGCUACGAUCAGUAGCUGGUCUGAGAGGAUGAUCAGCCACAUUGGGACUGAGACACGGCCCAAACUCCUACGGGAGGCAGCAGUGGGGAAUAUUGGACAAUGGGCGCAAGCCUGAUCCAGCCAUGCCGCGUGGGUGAUGAAGGCCUUAGGGUUGUAAAGCCCUUUCGGCGGGGAAGAUAAUGACGGUACCCGCAGAAGAAGCCCCGGCUAACUUCGUG
This 401-nucleotide ribosomal RNA is filed under the name uncultured bacterium. RNAcentral describes it as "bacterial SSU rRNA". It matches the Rfam family "Bacterial small subunit ribosomal RNA", at positions 62 to 507 of the family's 1533-position model. The record is from RNAcentral.